UACGGAGGGAGCUAGCGUUGUUCGGAAUUACUGGGCGUAAAGCGCGCGUAGGCGGCUUUGUAAGUUAGAGGUGAAAUCCCGGGGCUCAACCCCGGAACUGCACUCGAUACUGCCUUGCUCGAGUACUGGAGAGGAGACUGGAAUUUACGGUGUAGCAGUGAAAUGCGUAGAUAUCGUAAGGAAGACCAGUGGCGAAGGCGAGUCUCUGGACAGUUACUGACACUGAGGCACGAAGGCCAGGGGAGCAAACGGG
RNAcentral lists this ribosomal RNA (253 nucleotides) under uncultured bacterium. RNAcentral describes it as "partial 16S ribosomal RNA". It matches the Rfam family "Bacterial small subunit ribosomal RNA", at positions 524 to 776 of the family's 1533-position model. The record is from RNAcentral.